RNAcentral lists this ribosomal RNA (332 nucleotides) under uncultured eukaryote. RNAcentral's name for it is "partial 18S ribosomal RNA". It matches the Rfam family "Eukaryotic small subunit ribosomal RNA", at positions 1470 to 1796 of the family's 1831-position model. The record is from RNAcentral.
CCCUUAGAUGUUCUGGGCUGCACACGUGCUACACUGGCAGGUUCAGCGAGCUUCAUGCCCUGAUCUGAAAGGAAUGGGAAAUCUUUUCAAAACCUGCCGUGCUUGGGAUAGAUGUUUGCAAUUAUUCAUCUUCAACGAGGAUUGCCUUGUAAGCGCACGUCAUCAGCGUGCAUUGAAUACGACCCUGUAUUCUGUACACACCGCCCGUCGCUCCUACCGAUUGAAGUUUUCGGUGAGUUGACAGGAGGAUUUUUUUGAAACUGGUUUGCCAGUGGAUUUUAGAUCCAAAUGCCAACGAAUCGAUGGCUUUAGAGGAAGGAGAAGUCGUAACA